AAAACGGAGAGAGACUAAUUAUUGCAUAUGGUGAGGUGACUUUUAAUUGUGUGUAUUUGUAAAGAACGAUCACACUUCAACAAGUCACCUCCCACCACUAGGUUUUAACACAAUUGCCCCUGAAGAGGAGGAGUUCUGUCUGGCGUUCUGCUUAGACACCUAAACUCAGGAGGCUGUCACUCAGUCACAACAGGGUCUUUUGAACUGUCCAUUCAGAGGCGGGGACGGAGUAGGUGGGUGGGGCGAAGCGUCCCAACCCCCCGGAAGUUGUUGCUGCUCCAGCCACGCUGCGGACCGUCUCCCCGCCAUUUAAGGCUCCACGUGGUUCUGUUGCCUGUUUUGUCGAGUUGAGACCUGUACCCACCUCGGGAGUCAUAGGAAGGACUUCGGGGGGACCCAGGAAAACUAGAAAUGUCCCUGGUGGCUGUGCGGCAGCCUCUGUCGCGCUGUGACCUGCACUGGCCGUGGGGGUCGUAGGAAGGACUCAGGUAACCCAGGAGCCCUAGAAAUGGAGGCACCCGUUUUUUCCUGAGUAUUCCACGUAUUUGGGGAGCAGCGUCUGAAAUCCACAACCCUGUCUCCCCAGCCUAGGUCUUUUUAGGGCUGACAGCAAAUGCCUAAAUAUCCAGUCUCUCCCCAAAUUCCCAAAUGCCAACGUCCUUCCUUUGAUUAACAGCAUUGUCGUCAACUAUUUGUUCUCCUUGUUGGAUUUCAAACAGAUCCAAUAUUUAAUUGUUUAUCAUUUUCUCCCAGUCACUGGAUGGCUGCUUUUAAAGGAUUUAUUUUGUGUGUGGAUGUUUUCCAUGAGUAAAAAGCAGCCCAUAACCACCUGGAACUACAUUGUAUGAAAUCCUUGUGUGUCUCCCCCAGGAUCUUGCUGGGCACAGACAUCCUAGGGCACGUCUUUUGGGUGGAGGUUUUUCUUAAGAAGCUUCUCUGGAUGAUCUGUCCUGUCAGCACUGUUCCUACCUGAGUUGGUCACCUUUGAAAGACUUACUUUAUUUUAGUUUCAGUUUUUCAGUAAGUAAAAACUUAUUUAGUCGAUACGACUCGAAACACAAUAUAAGGCAUUACCAAAGAGGGAAGAAAGAGAUGAAUUUCAGAAAAAAUAACAUAUUCCAGUUGUACAUUGCAUGUACUAAUCCUUUCCUUUUUUUCUUCCCUUCUGGAUAGUAAUAUUCUGGGGUCUGUUCUUUUAUCUUGGGUGAGUUAAAAUGGAUUUCCAGGGUUUAGACUUGUAGAUUUGAAGUGUUCAUGUAUGAUUACUAGUUUAUAAAUAGUGUCUUAUAAUGAAAAUACAAGUAUAAAAAUAGUAUAUUAACAUCUUUUUUUCCCAGAAUGCAGUACGUCCUUGUGAAGUUUUUGUUGAGCCAACAACAUGCAAUACAAUUUUCUUCGCUCAUUUAGGCAUAAAGACUAAUUUGAGUGUUUUAGCUGGAUUGUUCAAACACUGAGUUUGUGUCAUUUAAAAUAUCAGUGGUGGGCCAAAAAAAAUCCAGUGGGACAGAAGACUGAGGGCAGUGAGUCUAAGCUGAGGCCCCCUUGAGCCUGCAGAGGGAAGGCCUUGAAGGCCCAGCUCUUCUUCCUGGGGAGCCUCCCCUUGCGGGUGUCUUACUGCUCACACCCCCAUGGAAGAAGCCUUUAUCCUGAGAGGAGCUGCAGAGCCCUGGAAAGCUGGGGUGCACAUGCUCAUGGGGUGGGGAGUCACUUCCUUUCUGAGGUUGUCACUGUGGUUCCCUUGGGUCUGUUUCUAGACAUAACUGGAGUUGUGCAUCCACAGUAUGGGUGCACUCAGAGAGUAAUUUGUUUACACAGAGAAAGUCUGUGAGAGUCAGGAGCUCUGUGUCCUGGAUUAGGGCCCAUUAAUCUGGGGUCCAUUUGGGUCAGAACCUUAAACUGGAUCCAGCUGAGUUUCCUCACUGUGAGAAUGGAGCCUGAGAGAGGGAGCAUGUGCACUGUUCCCUGGGGAGGGGAGGGUGUGUGGGGCUCCCAGAGCUCCUUCCUGUGGCUGCUCAGGUGCCCUCCCCUCCUUCUCCAGGGACUGACCCCCUCCAGGGCUCUGUCUCCACCAGGAGAGUCAGGAACUCGGGACCUCUGACCGUGGCUUUCCUUCUGUCCUGUGGGAAGCAGGCUGCUCGUCUGAGCUGAUUCCAGUAUUUGUGUUACUUCCCUGUGGAUUCCUCUGUCGAUGGACUAGGGCAGCCCUUUGGCUCUAGUUUCCCUUAGCACUUGGGGCUGAAACUGUAAGUUGAUGGAGAGAUAGGAUGUGAGGAGAGCAAGAAAUGUUUGUCAUUUUUGGACAAGUUUUUCUAUGUGCAUUUCUCUAGUAACAGAGAAAUUUAAAAGGCUUAAGUAAUUAAAUUUCUACUUUAAUUGGUGUAAGGAAAACUUAUGAAAGCUAUGUAUAUGUUUGAAAACCCGAUACGUUUAAGGGGUUAAACUCAAACCUUGAUUGCAUUAUGCCACUUAAUGUUUGAAAAUACCCCAAUGUGAGAUGUAGAGGAUGGACAAACUAGGAUGCCGCAUGUCCUUUUAGUAAGAAAGAGAUUUGAAAGUUUUAUUUUGUAUGGUUUACAAUUUUGUAACUGUUAGUGUUUAAAGGAAUUAAAUCUUAGAAUGGUUUCCUAUGUA
Molecule: non-coding RNA, 2631 nt
Organism: Equus caballus (horse)
Lineage: Eukaryota; Metazoa; Chordata; Mammalia; Perissodactyla; Equidae
Source: RefSeq, a predicted model, not a curated record